CCACUUACCUGGCAUUUGAGACGAUGGUCACGGAGACGGUCUUCCCAGCAUGAGGCUGACCCAUUGCACGCGGAUGUGCCGACCUCUGCGAUUUCCUCAAAUGUGGGAAAUUCAGCUGCACAAUUUGUGGUAGUGAGGCGCUGCCUUCACACUUUCCUCUA
Molecule: small nuclear RNA, 161 nt
Organism: Octodon degus (degu)
Lineage: Eukaryota; Metazoa; Chordata; Mammalia; Rodentia; Octodontidae
Gene: U1
Rfam family: U1 spliceosomal RNA
About the family: U1 is a small nuclear RNA (snRNA) component of the spliceosome (involved in pre-mRNA splicing). Its 5' end forms complementary base pairs with the 5' splice junction, thus defining the 5' donor site of an intron. There are significant differences in sequence and secondary structure between metazoan and yeast U1 snRNAs, the latter being much longer (568 nucleotides as compared to 164 nucleotides in human).
Source: Ensembl